This is a long non-coding RNA of Rhinopithecus roxellana (golden snub-nosed monkey), 852 nucleotides long. RefSeq lists it as uncharacterized. The transcript is spliced from 4 exons. The record is from RefSeq and is a predicted model, not a curated record. NCBI's taxonomy places the organism in Eukaryota, Metazoa, Chordata, Mammalia, Primates, Cercopithecidae.
CGGUGAAACCCCGUCUGGACUAAAAAUACAAAAACCCGAGACCCAAGAGUCAGCUCUCCGGAACCCAGUGGAAGGACCUCAGGACAGUGAUUUCAACGGAGAGGGGCUGAUCGUAUCAGAAAGCCAACUAAUCCCGCGGCGGUGCAGAGACCACGCAGGAAGGACACUGGAAGUCUGAUUGCCCCACCCUGGGAACGGGUGCCACGUCCCAACGUGACCCCCUUUCCCAGGAUCCUGGGAGCUCCUUCCAGCUCCUACAUUUGGACGACAACAGCUGAGGGUGCCAAGACUCGGGGACCCCCAACACCCUCGCCGAGCCGCGGGUAACUCUCCUGGUAGCGGAUCAAAUUUCUUCAAGCCAAGAUUCAAGGAACCGAAUUCUGUCACCUUCAACCAAAUGCUUCUUCAUCCGUACGUCCAAACACCAACCAUAGGCCCCCGACCUUAAUGACGCCCCUUAACAGCAGGAAGUAGCCAGACAGAUUACGGCACCUCUUUAUCACUAUUACCAAUAAAAGGUUGGACUGUUUGGACGAAUGGAGGCAAGAUGGCGCAUUUCCGGGUUCUUCAUCACCAACUUUGCCCGUGUGCGCGAAGAUGCAGCUGGCGCCCGGGAAGGUGCAAACCAACCAGGCAUGCGCCAGGUGAUGUCAAUCCAAAGAGACCAAGAUUUACCUGGUGGCACCUGCAGAGCCUUCCCCCCCACCCCCGACAUGUCCGUGCCCCGCCUAUUGCCCUUCCACUCCUAGAAAAGCCGCUCUCAGCGGGCGCGCUGGGGUGGGCUUUCUCAGCCCUCACUCUUUUCGGGACUGCAUUAGGAACUUUGCCCCAGAGCUCUACCGGGUGACUCUC